GAUGAACGCUGGCGGCGUGCCUAAUACAUGCAAGUCGAGCGAAGCGGGGACGGGUGAGUAACACGUGGAUAACCUCCUAUAAGACUGGGAUAACUUCGGGAAACCGUAGCUAAACCGGAUACUUAUCGAUGGAUCCGCGCUGCAUUAGCUAGUUGGUAAGGUAACGGCUUACCAAGGCAACGAUGCAUAGCUGACCUGAGAGGUUGAUCAGCCACACUGGAACUGAGACACGGCCCAGACUCCUACGGGAGGCAGCAGUAGGGAAGCUUGCGCAAUGGGCGAAAGCCUGACGGAGCCACGCCGCGUGAGUGAUGAAGGUCUUAGGAUCGUAAAACACUGUUAGUCGGGAAGCGGUACCUAAUCAGAAAGCCACGGCUAACUACGUGCCAGCCGCCGCGGUAAUUC
RNAcentral lists this ribosomal RNA (405 nucleotides) under uncultured bacterium. RNAcentral's name for it is "partial 16S ribosomal RNA". It matches the Rfam family "Bacterial small subunit ribosomal RNA", at positions 28 to 526 of the family's 1533-position model. The record is from RNAcentral.